UUGGACGGUACUGUAAGAAAAGGGAGGGGCUAACUCCGUGCCAGCAGCCGCGGUAAUACUGAGGAUGCAAGCGUUAUCCGGAAUUAUUGGGUUUAAAGGGUCCGUAGGCGGGCUAAUAAGUCAGUGGUGAAAUUUUGGGGCUUAACUCUAAAACUGCCAUUGAUACUGUUAGUCUUGAAUUAUUGUGAAGUGGUUAGAAUGUGUAGUGUAGCGGUGAAAUGCUUAGAUAUUACAUAGAAUACCAAUUGCGAAGGCAGAUCACUAACAAUAUACUGACGCUGAUGGACGAAAGCGUGGGUAGCGAACAGGAUUAGAUACCCUGGUAGUCCACGCCGUAAACGAUGGUUACUAACUGUUUGGUUCAAUUGAGUAGUGAGUGGCCAAGCGAAAGUGAUAAGUAACCCCCCUGGGGAGUACAUUCGCAAGAGUGAAACUCAAAGGAAUUGAC
RNAcentral lists this ribosomal RNA (448 nucleotides) under uncultured bacterium. Its description in RNAcentral is "bacterial SSU rRNA". It matches the Rfam family "Bacterial small subunit ribosomal RNA", at positions 468 to 914 of the family's 1533-position model. The record is from RNAcentral.